CGGACGGGUGAGUAACGCGUGAGAAUCUCCCUUCAGGAUGGGGACAACCGUUGGAAACGACGGCUAAUCCCCAAUGUGCCGAGAGGUGAAAGGGUUUCCGCCUGAAGAAGAGCUCGCGUCCGAUUAGUUAGUUGGUGAGGUAAGAGCUCACCAAGGCAGCGAUCGGUAGCUGGUCUGAGAGGAUGAGCAGCCACACUGGGACUGAGACACGGCCCAGACUCCUACGGGAGGCAGCAGUGGGGAAUUUUCCGCAAUGGGCGAAAGCCUGACGGAGCAACGCCGCGUGUGGGAAGAAGGCUCUUGGGCUGUCAACCACUUUUCUCAGGGAAGAAGUUCUGACGGUACCUGAGGAAUCAGCCUCGGCUAACUCCGUGCCAGCAGCCGCGGUAAUACGGAGGAGGCAAGCGUUAUCCGGAAUUAUUGGGCGUAAAGCGUCCGCAGGGGGCGCAUCGAGUCUGCUGUUAAAGGCUGGAGCUUAACUCCGGUAGAGCAGUGGAAACUGGUGCGCUAGAGGGCGACAGGGGUAGAGGGAAUUCCCAGUGUAGCGGUGAAAUGCGUAGAGAUUGGGAAGAACACCGGUGGCGAAAGCGCUCUACUGGGUCGCACCUGACCCUCAGGGACGAAAGCUAAGGUAGCGAAUGGGAUUAGAUACCCCAGUAGUC
RNAcentral lists this ribosomal RNA (662 nucleotides) under uncultured cyanobacterium. RNAcentral's name for it is "bacterial SSU rRNA". It matches the Rfam family "Bacterial small subunit ribosomal RNA", at positions 99 to 795 of the family's 1533-position model. Lineage: Bacteria; Bacillati; Cyanobacteriota. The record is from RNAcentral.